RNAcentral lists this ribosomal RNA (466 nucleotides) under uncultured bacterium. RNAcentral's name for it is "partial 16S ribosomal RNA". It matches the Rfam family "Bacterial small subunit ribosomal RNA", at positions 28 to 506 of the family's 1533-position model. The record is from RNAcentral.
GAUGAACGCUGGCGGCGUGCUUAACACAUGCAAGUCGAACGGAAAGGCCCAAGCUUGCUUGGGUACUCGAGUGGCGAACGGGUGAGUAACACGUGGGUGAUCUGCCCUGCGCUUCGGGAUAAGCCUGGGAAACUGGGUCUAAUACCGGAUAGGACCACAUUUUGGAUGGUGUGGUGGAAAGUUUUUCGGUGUGGGAUGAGCUCGCGGCCUAUCAGCUUGUUGGUGGGGUAAUGGCCUACCAAGGCGUCGACGGGUAGCCGGCCUGAGAGGGUGUACGGCCACAUUGGGACUGAGAUACGGCCCAGACUCCUACGGGAGGCAGCAGUGGGGAAUAUUGCACAAUGGGCGCAAGCCUGAUGCAGCGACGCCGCGUGGGGGAUGACGGCCUUCGGGUUGUAAACUCCUUUCGCUAGGGACGAAGCGUUUUUGUGACGGUACCUGGAGAAGAAACACCGGCUAACUACGU